Long non-coding RNA from Rattus norvegicus (Norway rat), 1961 nucleotides. RefSeq lists it as uncharacterized. The record is from RefSeq and is a predicted model, not a curated record. NCBI's taxonomy places the organism in Eukaryota, Metazoa, Chordata, Mammalia, Rodentia, Muridae.
GUCAUGGAUACUUGAAUAAGAUGUGUGCUAGCCUGGAACCUUCAGAAUUCCAUCAUAGAUAGGACAAAAUCACAGAAGUGAUCUCCUACCUUUUAGAAAAAUAGCAUUAGCAGUAAAUGGCUGCCGAGGGGAGUUAACGCCAUUCUCUUCAAAGCUGUAACCACUGCUGCAACCUACCAUCCCCUCGACAGAAUCACUGUGAAGCCAGCAAGAAUUGUCAGAACCAGUUUCUUUCGUUAGAGACGUGGAAAGUAGUCCUUGGUUUAUAGCAAGCCUGCAAGUGCUGAAUCAAGAAUAAGGCAGGCCAGGCUUGGAAGUGCUUGCCUGAAAUCCCAUCGCUCAACAAGGAUCCAUCUGUCCUCCCUCCACCUGGCUGAUCCUGUGACUGUACUGGAUGCUCACUCUCUGGUCAUUAAUGAGUACUGAGAAGUGACAACUUGUCCUUGUCAAGCUUUGCACCCCACAACAAGCAAUGCUGUAGCAAAUGGAACAUAACUUCCAGUAGUGAUCUUCUCCAGCUAUGGUCGGCUGAAUCCGGAGAUGCAAAAGCUGGACUCAGAGCACUCAUCUACACAUAUUUAUUGGCAGAAGUUUGCAAACUGGAAAAGGGGGGGGGGAUGGUUCCUGGAUGAGGCUAUAGAGAAGCUGACUGGAAAAUAGGACAACGUGAGUGUUAUUCAACUUUUGAGGCCACUGGGUGCGUAUUACACAAGACUAUAUCACCCUAGGUACCAUGGCUCAAAAACAGAUACAAAGGGGUGCUAGGGUACUGUGUUCCGGGUCAGUGGUCUGGUUUCUCAGAGGUCAGUGAAUCAACUGCUUCUUAUCCUUGGAGGACCAAGUCACUCAGGCUUGUCAUCUAGCAGGGGAAUAGCUCCUGGGUCCCACCUCAGCUGGGCAGAAGCACUGCACAUGCAGCAGAUGAUGCUGUGUAACAGUCUGCUCCUUAGAUGGGAAAGUCCACAUGCUAUCAAACCCCAUCCCCAAUCUCCUGACCACUCCAGCUCUAGCUUGACCUGGCUAGCUUAAGCACUCUAGAGACAGAAUGGACCUGUGCCGUAGCAGAGCUCUCCCCUUAAGCCUGAUCUCAUCAGUGGCUAGGACUUGUAUUGAGGCUCUGUUUGGAGCAUCUCAACUUAAUACUCAUCCUUUACUGUCUGAAUUCUGAUACUAUUAUAUUCAAGGCUUGCUGUCUUGGGAGGAAGAGUUUUGCUGGAUCAGCAUAUUCCCAAAGGCAGUCUACACCUGAGAGUCCCUACCCCAACACUUGGGAGUCUCACUGUGGACUAUUCUUCACCUUCUCUGCUCACUUGACUGCAGAGACAGAUUCCAGACAACUAGUCCCUGACCCUAAGCAUGCUGACAUUCUCCCACUCGCCAGUCCUAAGCCGGCUUGUCCAUCUGUGCUGGCUGGUAUUACGUCAACUUGACACAAGCUAGAGUUAUCUAAAAGGAGGGAACCUCAAAUGAGAAAAGGCCUUCAUAAGAUCCAGAUGUAAGACAUUUUUUUUAAAAUUAGUGCUUGCUGGGGAAGGGCCUAAAACAUUGUGGGUGGUGCCAUCCCUGGACUGGUGGUCCUGGGUUUUAUAAGAAAGCAGGUUGAGCAAGCCAUGGGGAACAAGCCAGGAAGCAUCAUCCUUCAAUGGCCUCUGCAGCAGCUCCUGCCUUCAGUUACCAACCUGCUUGAGUCCCUGUCCUGGUUUCCUCAGUGAUAGACUACAAUGUACAAGUUAAGGCCAAUAAACCCUUUCAUCUCCCACUUGCUCUCUGAUCAUAGUGCCUAAUCACGGGAGUAGGAACCCUAAGACACCAACCUUGGCCACUUAUUCUUCUUGAAGAUGCCAAAGUUCAUGGUGUAAUUCUGUCUUCCCCGUGCAGCCUUUGGUUUGUAACCAAUCUGUGCCUCCAGAUUUGUCCCCUGACUUCUUUUGAUAUGUGUGAGUAAAGGGAACUUUUCCAGU